AAGUCGUAACAAGGUUUCCGUAGGUGAACCUGCGGAAGGAUCAUUAGAAUGAGAGCCGGACAUGUCGUGGCGAAACGACGUCACGGCUAGCCAGAUGCCAAGUAAGCCGGCCCGUAAACCCUCCACCCUUGUGUAUUAUUCUUCUGUUGCUUUGGCAGGCCGCGGACCCUCUGGGGGAGCGCUGGCUUCGGCUGGAGAGUGCCUGCCAGAGGACCAAACUCUGUAAUUUAAUGCCGUCUGAGUACUACGAAAAUAGUUAAAA
RNAcentral lists this unclassified non-coding RNA (262 nucleotides) under plant metagenome. RNAcentral describes it as "partial contains small subunit ribosomal RNA and internal transcribed spacer 1". The stretch from base 1 to 46 matches the Rfam family "Eukaryotic small subunit ribosomal RNA", at positions 1786 to 1831 of the family's 1831-position model. The record is from RNAcentral.